This 74-nucleotide transfer RNA is filed under the name Desulfobacteraceae bacterium. RNAcentral's name for it is "tRNA-Gln". It matches the Rfam family "tRNA". From Rfam's summary of the family: Transfer RNA (tRNA) molecules are approximately 80 nucleotides in length. The record is from RNAcentral. Lineage: Bacteria; Pseudomonadati; Thermodesulfobacteriota; Desulfobacteria; Desulfobacterales; Desulfobacteraceae.
UGAGGGUUAGUGUAGUGGUAUCACGACGGGUUCUGGCCCCGUUAACAUAGGUUCGAAUCCUAUACCCUCAGCCA